Molecule: ribosomal RNA, 779 nt
Filed under: uncultured Neocallimastigales
Lineage: Eukaryota; Fungi; Neocallimastigomycota; Neocallimastigomycetes; Neocallimastigales
Description: partial large subunit ribosomal RNA
Rfam family: Eukaryotic large subunit ribosomal RNA
Source: RNAcentral
AGAGAGAGACAUGCGCGCAUAUCAAUAAGCGGAGGAAAAGAAACUAACUAGGAUUCCCUUAGUAACGGCGAGUGAAGCGGGAAGAGCUCAAAUUUGAAAUCUUCAAGGUUCUACCUUGACGAAUUGUAGUUUAAAGAAGUGUUUUCUGUUGGAGUUUUGGUAAAAGUUCUUUGGAAUAGGACAUCAUAGAGGGUGAGAAUCCCGUAUUUGACCAUUAUCUUCCAGCUGUGUGAUACACUUUCAAAGAGUCGGAUUGUUUGGGAAUGCAGUCCAAAAUGGGUGGUAAAUUUCAUCUAAAGCUAAAUAUUGGCGAGAGACCGAUAGCGAACAAGUACCGUGAGGGAAAGAUGAAAAGAACUUUGAAAAGAGAGUUAAACAGUACGUGAAAUUGUCAAAAGGGAAGCGUUUGACACCAGUGUUGUUUUCUCGAAAAUCAAUUAAUGAUGGCUGAUGUUAGUGUUGUAUUGACUUUAUCAGCAUUACUGUCUACGUUUUUCUUGUCUUUGUGAAUGCACUUUUCGUUUAACAAGUCAACAUCAAUUUCUUUUGUUGUAAAAGGGUCAUUGGAAGGUGGCUUUCUUUUCGGAGAAAGUGUUUAUAGCCUUUGGCUUCUGCAAUCGGAGAGAUUGAGGUCUGCAGCGUAGAUCCUUCGGGGUUAGAUACAUUUGUGCUAAGCUAUAGCCUUUUAUAGACAACUUGUUGACUAUGAUUAGUCAUUGUAGCUUACUCGCUUAUGCUAUUUUACCUACGCUUAGGAUGUUGACAGCAGUAUAGACUGU